AAAGGGUAAACACUUUUUCAUAGUAUGAUUCCUUUCCUCUACUCCACAAUACAAUCUCCAAACACAUUUCUACAACAUCAUUCAGCUUCGAACUGAAUAUAUGUCUGAAAUUUUCAGCUGGAGUAUGAGCGCAACAAGGAGGCUUUAGAUAMAGAAAGGAAAUAAUCACAAAGAAAAGCUUUCAGAAUGGACAGUAACYUGUUUUACUACUGUAUUUCUUUGUGUUAGUUUGGGAUUUCCUCGGCCCUUUUGGUGUAAAGGGGGAACAAGGAGACAARGGUCUACCAGGAGACCAAGGAAGACCUGCCGUCUUUCCGGGACCCAAAGGAUCUGAUGGAAGUCCGGGGAGCAGAGGCCCACCGGGACCCAGAGGAUCGUGGAAAGAGUUCUUUAAAGGAGAGGAAGGGCCRAGGGGAAGACCUGGCAAUGCAGGGGCUAAAGGAUUUAAAGGGCAUCAUGGAGAAUGUCAGUGCAGUAGUGAAAAUUUCCCCCGCGGCUUACCUGGUCCUGCCGGUGAGCUCGGAGAUCCUGGGAUGACCGGAGAGUUCGGAUACGAAGGGGACAUGGGAGACGAGGGUCCCCGAGGCGCCGACGGGUUUCCUGUAAGGAAAUAAUGACUUUAGUCUUUUU
This is a non-coding RNA of Poecilia reticulata (guppy), 630 nucleotides long. Lineage: Eukaryota; Metazoa; Chordata; Actinopteri; Cyprinodontiformes; Poeciliidae. The record is from RefSeq and is a predicted model, not a curated record.